GACGAACGCUGGCGGCGUGCCUAACACAUGCAAGUCAACUUGACGGAAGGAGCAAUCUGACCGUAGAGUGGCGCAAGGGUGCGUAACGCGUAAGUAACUUGCCCCAAGGUAAGGAAUAACGUCGAGAAAUCGGCGCUAAUACCUCAUAAUGCAGCGGAUCCGCAUGGAUAUGUUGUUAAAAGGUUUACCGCCUUGGGAUAGGCUUGCGUCUGAUUAGCUAGUUGGUGUGGUAACGGCACACCAAGGCUACGAUCAGUAACUGGUCUGAGAGGAUGAUCAGUCACACUGGAACUGAGACACGGUCCAGACUCCUACGGGAGGCAGCAGUGAGGAAUAUUGGGCAAUGGGCGCAAGCCUGACCCAGCAACGCCGCGUGAGGGAAGAAGGUUUUCGGAUUGUAAACCUCUGUCGCAGGGGACGAAGGAAGUGACGGUACCCUGUAAGAAGCCCCGGCUAACUACGUGCCAGCAGCCGCGGUAAU
RNAcentral lists this ribosomal RNA (481 nucleotides) under uncultured bacterium. RNAcentral describes it as "bacterial SSU rRNA". It matches the Rfam family "Bacterial small subunit ribosomal RNA", at positions 28 to 524 of the family's 1533-position model. The record is from RNAcentral.